UGUGUUGAAUGAAUGACUGAAUGAUUCUUU
RNAcentral lists this non-coding RNA (30 nucleotides) under Mus musculus (house mouse). Lineage: Eukaryota; Metazoa; Chordata; Mammalia; Rodentia; Muridae. The record is from RNAcentral.